GAUGAACGCUGGCGGCGUGCCUAAUACAUGCAAGUCGAGCGAACAGAUGAGGAGCUUGCUCCUCUGACGUUAGCGGCGGACGGGUGAGUAACACGUGGAUAACCUACCUAUAAGACUGGGAUAACUUCGGGAAACCGGAGCUAAUACCGGAUAAUAUAUUGAACCGCAUGGUUCAAUAGUGAAAGACGGUUUUGCUGUCACUUAUAGAUGGAUCCGCGCCGCAUUAGCUAGUUGGUAAGGUAACGGCUUACCAAGGCAACGAUGCGUAGCCGACCUGAGAGGGGGCGCGGCAACACGGGAGGGGAGACCGGGUCCGGACUCCUACGGGAGGCAGCAGAGGGGAACCUUCGGCAGGGGGCGAAAUCCUGCCGGAGCAGCCCGGGGGGGGGAGCAACGUUCUUCGUAUCGUAAACCUGUUUUUUUGGGGAAAAACAAAUUUUAAAGUAAAUGUGCCCGUCUUGACGGUACCUAAUAAAAAAGCACCGGCUAACUACGUG
This 497-nucleotide ribosomal RNA is filed under the name uncultured bacterium. RNAcentral's name for it is "partial 16S ribosomal RNA". It matches the Rfam family "Bacterial small subunit ribosomal RNA", at positions 28 to 507 of the family's 1533-position model. The record is from RNAcentral.